GGAUGUGAGGGCUAUCUGACUGCAACAUCUGUCACCCCAUUGAUCACCAGGGUUGAUUCGGUUGAUUUGGCUGGCUAGGAGGGUGUCCCCUUCCUCCCUCACCUCUCCAUGUGGGUCCCUGCCUAAGCUGCAGGCUAGAUAAAAAGAGAACAGUCUUCCCCAAUGGAGAUGAACUGGUCUUCAGUUGAGGGUAUAGGAGUAUCUGUGCUCCCCUGCUAGAACCAACAAACAAGCUUCAAGGCAUAGACAGGCAGGCAUAGGGGAAUACAUGUUCACUAAAAGUUAAUGUUAACUAAAAGUUAAUGCUUU
Molecule: small nuclear RNA, 309 nt
Filed under: Erinaceus europaeus (western European hedgehog)
Lineage: Eukaryota; Metazoa; Chordata; Mammalia; Eulipotyphla; Erinaceidae
Description: 7SK RNA
Rfam family: 7SK RNA
About the family: 7SK was discovered as an abundant small nuclear RNA in the mid-70s but a possible function has only recently been suggested.
Source: Rfam by way of RNAcentral